GUGAACGCUGGCGGUAGGCCUAACACAUGCAAGUCGAACGGCAGCACCGUAAGAGCUUGCUCUUACGGGUGGCGAGUGGCGGACGGGUGAGGAAUACAUCGGAAUCUACUUUUUCGUGGGGGAUAACGUAGGGAAACUUACGCUAAUACCGCAUACGACCUACGGGUGAAAGCAGGGGAUCUUCGGACCUUGCGCGAUUGAAUGAGCCGAUGUCGGAUUAGCUAGUUGGCGGGGUAAAGGCCCACCAAGGCGACGAUCCGUAGCUGGUCUGAGAGGAUGAUCAGCCACACUGGAGCUGAGACACGGUCCAGACUCCUACGGGAGGCAGCAGUGGGGAAUAUUGGACAAUGGGCGCAAGCCUGAUCCAGCCAUACCGCGUGGGUGAAGAAGGCCUUCGGGUUGUAAAGCCCUUUUGUUGGGAAAGAAAAGCAGCAGGUUAAUACCCCGCUGUUCUGACGGUACCCAAAGAAUAAGCACCGGCUAACUUCGUG
This 491-nucleotide ribosomal RNA is filed under the name uncultured bacterium. Its description in RNAcentral is "partial 16S ribosomal RNA". It matches the Rfam family "Bacterial small subunit ribosomal RNA", at positions 29 to 507 of the family's 1533-position model. The record is from RNAcentral.